RNAcentral lists this long non-coding RNA (615 nucleotides) under Salvia miltiorrhiza (redroot sage). Its description in RNAcentral is "long non-coding RNA (SMIL_LNC001569)". Lineage: Eukaryota; Viridiplantae; Streptophyta; Magnoliopsida; Lamiales; Lamiaceae. The record is from RNAcentral.
CCAUCAAAAUACAUCAAUUCCUCUAAAUCAACUAUCAAAAUAUAACAAAAUAUUAUCCGAAUCAAUUCAAUCUACAAUCAAAAUACAAUCAAAAUUAUUCAAAAUACAACAAUUCCCCAAAAUCAAAAUACAACAAUACAUAAAGAAACCUAGCAAGUAACACACACAAAAUAUAUCUAUGUAAGAAGUAGGCAGGUUAAUUUGGGAUCUGCCACGUUUAUGAUGAUAAAGAGCCAGAUGGCUUGAAAUAAGGAGAAAUCAUCAUCCACCUCACACCUUCCUCCUUAUUAAAAAAAAAAAAGAGGCAGCAAGAAUUGAGUUGCAAAUAGAAGAAAAAUGUCAGGAUCGACGGUAGAAACUCACGACAAGAUUGACGGCGGCGGCGAUGGAGAUGAAGGCGGUGAAGAUAGACGGCGACAUCGAUGGAGAUGAAGGCGGCGUUUCUCGAUGGAGAUCGGUGGAGAUAGAUCGGUGGAGAGAGAGAGAGAGGAGAGGAGAGGAUGCGGUGGCCGGCGGAGGCGGAGGCGGUGGCCGGCGACUGUGAAGCGGCGGCGAGGACGAGAACAGCAGUGUAGUGGUGGUGGUGGGGGGCAACUGUGCAGCGGUGGUGGUGGG